Molecule: long non-coding RNA, 250 nt
Organism: Stegostoma tigrinum
Lineage: Eukaryota; Metazoa; Chordata; Chondrichthyes; Orectolobiformes; Stegostomatidae
Exons: 2
Source: RefSeq, a predicted model, not a curated record
CUGAGGUGAAUGAGAAAGGCAGCAGUUAAAAUCAGAGCGCAAGCACGACUCGCAACGUGAAAAGUUAUUAUUCAUACAAAGAUGCUGCCAGGCCUGCUGUGUUCUUCCUGUUUGUCUACCUUGGAUUCCAGCAUCUGCAGUUGUUUCGUCUCUCACUCUGUUCCACGUCAAGUUAGUAUCAGCAGCAAAUGCUUGCCAGUGACACCCACAUCCCACAAAAGAAUACAAAAUAAAUAGUCGCGAGAUCAAA